RNAcentral lists this ribosomal RNA (273 nucleotides) under Helicobacter pylori. RNAcentral's name for it is "partial 23S ribosomal RNA". It matches the Rfam family "Bacterial large subunit ribosomal RNA", at positions 1917 to 2189 of the family's 2925-position model. The record is from RNAcentral. Lineage: Bacteria; Pseudomonadati; Campylobacterota; Epsilonproteobacteria; Campylobacterales; Helicobacteraceae.
GCCCGAGUAAACGGCGGCCGUAACUAUAACGGUCCUAAGGUAGCGAAAUUCCUUGUCGGUUAAAUACCGACCUGCAUGAAUGGCGUAACGAGAUGGGAGCUGUCUCAACCAGAGAUUCAGUGAAAUUGUAGUGGAGGUGAAAAUUCCUCCUACCCGCGGCAAGACGGAAAGACCCCGUGGACCUUUACUACAACUUAGCACUGCUAAUGGGAAUAUCAUGCGCAGGAUAGGUGGGAGGCUUUGAAGUAAGGGCUUUGGCUCUUAUGGAGUCAA